Molecule: non-coding RNA, 83 nt
Organism: Pelobates cultripes (western spadefoot toad)
Lineage: Eukaryota; Metazoa; Chordata; Amphibia; Anura; Pelobatidae
Source: the annotation of a GenBank genome assembly
UGUAUGUAUGUGUCUGUGUGUGUCUCUGUAUGUGUGUGACACAGACACAUACAUACAGAGACACACAUGCACACGCAUACAUA